Molecule: ribosomal RNA, 484 nt
Filed under: uncultured bacterium
Lineage: Bacteria
Description: partial 16S ribosomal RNA
Rfam family: Bacterial small subunit ribosomal RNA
Source: RNAcentral
AUUGAACGCUGGCGUCAGGCCUAACACAUGCAAGUCGAGCGGAUGAAGGGAGCUUGCUCCUGGAUUCAGCGGCGGACGGGUGAGUAAUGCCUAGGAAUCUGCCUGGUAGUGGGGGAUAACGUCCGGAAACGGGCGCUAAUACCGCAUACGUCCUGAGGGAGAAAGUGGGGGAUCUUCGGACCUCACGCUAUCAGAUGAGCCUAGGUCGGAUUAGCUAGUUGGUGGGGUAAAGGCCUACCAAGGCGCCGAUCCGUAACUGGUCUGAGAGGAUGAUCAGUCACACUGGAACUGAGACACGGUCCAGACUCCGACGGGAGGCAGCAGUUGGGAAUAUUGGACAAUGGGCGAAAGCCUGAUCCAGCCAUGCCGCGUGUGUGAAGAAGGUCUUCGGAUUGUAAAGCACUUUAAGUUGGGAGGAAGGGCAGUAAGUUAAUACCUUGCUGUUUUGACGUUACCAACAGAAUAAGCACCGGCUAACUUCGUG